GACGAACGCUGGCGGCGUGCUUAACACAUGCAAGUCGAGCGGUAAGGCCCUUUCGGGGGUACACGAGCGGCGAACGGGUGAGUAACACGUGGGUGACCUGCCCUCAGCUCUGGGAUAAGCCUGGGAAACCGGGUCUAAUACUGGAUAUGACUCCACGGUGCAUGUCGUGGGGUGGAAAGCCUUGUGCGGCUGAGGAUGGGCCCGCGGCCUAUCAGCUUGUUGGUGGGGGAUGGCCUACCAAGGCGACGACGGGUAGCCGGCCUGAGAGGGCGACCGGCCACACUGGGACUGAGACACGGCCCAGACUCCUACGGGAGGCAGCAGUGGGGAAUCUUGCGCAAUGGGCGAAAGGCUGACGCAGCGACGCCGCGUGUGGGAUGACGGCCU
This 387-nucleotide ribosomal RNA is filed under the name uncultured bacterium. RNAcentral's name for it is "bacterial SSU rRNA". It matches the Rfam family "Bacterial small subunit ribosomal RNA", at positions 28 to 417 of the family's 1533-position model. The record is from RNAcentral.